UAGAGAGUGUCAGUUCUAGACAAUUAUCAUCAUUUAUAAAGCACCAACAUUUCCACAGUGCUGUACAAUGGGUGGACUAACAGAUAAGUAUUUGUAACCAGACAAGUUGGACGCACAGGAACAGAGGGGUUGAGGGCCCUGCUCCAUGAGCUUACAUGCUAGAGGGAAUGGGGUAUAGUGAAACACAAGGUAAGGGUACGAUAGAAAAUAAUUC
This is a non-coding RNA of Pelobates cultripes (western spadefoot toad), 214 nucleotides long. NCBI's taxonomy places the organism in Eukaryota, Metazoa, Chordata, Amphibia, Anura, Pelobatidae. The record is from the annotation of a GenBank genome assembly.